This is a long non-coding RNA of Scophthalmus maximus (turbot), 999 nucleotides long. RefSeq lists it as uncharacterized. The record is from RefSeq and is a predicted model, not a curated record. NCBI's taxonomy places the organism in Eukaryota, Metazoa, Chordata, Actinopteri, Pleuronectiformes, Scophthalmidae. The transcript is spliced from 3 exons.
ACCACUGUGGCAGGGGAGAGGGAGGAGGGGAAGCUGGUGAAGCCACUGAUAUUCAUGAAGACGCCAAGUGUUUUUUUUUUUUCUCUUUCUCUCUCCUCUCUCUCUCUCCCUCUCUCUUUGCCGUGGUGACACACUGCUCGUCUGCGGAGAGACAGAGGGGGGACGCAGGGAGGACAGGACGGGGGGAGGACGGAGACGAGGCCCGGCCCAUCUUGCCAUUGAUCUUGAGGCGAUCAAGACUCCAGCGUGAGAAAGUCCUUUCAUCGAGUGUGGGUGUGUUCUUGGUGACCCUGGAGGAAAAAAAGAGUCGUCUCCACCACCACCACCACCUCCACCUCCACCAUGUGUCUGUGCACCAGCAGCUCAAUCAUAAACACCGAUAUGCUGAAGCGUGUCCUAUCCAAUGGAAUUAGGGGAAUCUGCAGCGGAGACGAGACACGCCGGAUCCCUGCGAGUCAAACCUGCAGUUUUCCGACGUCUGGAUUUUCCUCAGAUGAGCCGAUCGCAUCGAACGCCUCUCUCCCCUGUGCAGGAUUCUAGAUCCGUGUGAACCAAUCAGACGGAGGGAAACCGAGAUCUGAGACAGGAGAGACACUCUGUACGAGUUCCCCUGGAUUUGUGGGUUCCUUUUCUAACUUGUUGGUGAAAAUUGCAUCCAUGUGGGAUCCGGUUUACGUUUGGGGAACGCCGCACGAACGACACUCCAGCCUGGAUGGUUAUUUCGGAGAACAUGGGAGAAACAGGUUUUCCUCAGCGGCCGCAUCAUGAACUCUGAGCAGGACAUCCCGUCGGCUUGUCUCGCCAAAGGAAGACGACGACGACAUGCAGACACGCUUGUUUUUUCCCCCCAGAAACUUGUAGCUUACACUUAAAAUGGAGUGAGACUUUUUUUUUUGAUUUUCCUUCCUUCUGCCUUUGGCUCUGGGACAAAAACAACAACAGAUCAACAGAUCCAGGAGAGGACGCCGGGUGGCAGCCUUCUGAGGGGCCGAGGUGUGG